UGCAUGUGUAUACACUGAGUUUGCAGGUGGCU
Molecule: non-coding RNA, 32 nt
Filed under: Homo sapiens (human)
Lineage: Eukaryota; Metazoa; Chordata; Mammalia; Primates; Hominidae
Source: RNAcentral